RNAcentral lists this ribosomal RNA (622 nucleotides) under Pteroxygonum denticulatum. Its description in RNAcentral is "eukaryotic LSU rRNA". The stretch from base 226 to 382 matches the Rfam family "5.8S ribosomal RNA". Lineage: Eukaryota; Viridiplantae; Streptophyta; Magnoliopsida; Caryophyllales; Polygonaceae. The record is from RNAcentral.
CGUAGGUGGAGCUGCGGAAGGAUCAUUGUCGAAACCUGCUAGAGCAGACAGACCCGCGGACACGUUUACAAACACCCCCGGGGGCGCGGGGCACGGCCUAAGAACCAGCGCCGCCCCCCACCAACUAACUCCGGCGCGGAUUGCGCCAAGGACCAUGAACAAUAGCUCGUCCCGCGUGCCCGGACCUCCGGCGCGCGGCGAUGGCGUGUCGUUACAUAACAAAACGACUCUCGGCAACGGAUAUCUCGGCUCUCGCAUCGAUGAAGAACGUAGCGAAAUGCGAUACUUGGUGUGAAUUGCAGAAUCCCGUGAACCAUCGAGUCUUUGAACGCAAGUUGCGCCCGAAAGCCUUAUGGCCGAGGGCACGUCUGCCUGGGCGUCACGCAUCGCGUCGCCCCCCACCCCCUCCGAGGGGCGAGGGGCGGAGAAUGGCCUCCCGUGAGCCUCGGCUCGUGGCCGGCCUAAACGAAGACCCCGUGGCCGCGAGAUGCCGCGACGAUUGGUGGUGUACUCCUGGCCCUGUGCCUCGAAGCAUCGCGUCGCGUCUCGCGUGGCCCUCGGGAGAUCARAGGACCCCCUAAACCGUUGCGACCCCAGGUCAGGCGGGACUACCCGCUGAGUU